RNAcentral lists this ribosomal RNA (468 nucleotides) under uncultured bacterium. RNAcentral's name for it is "partial 16S ribosomal RNA". It matches the Rfam family "Bacterial small subunit ribosomal RNA", at positions 28 to 507 of the family's 1533-position model. The record is from RNAcentral.
GACGAACGCUGGCGGCGUGCUUAACACAUGCAAGUCGAACGGAAAGGCCCUGCUUUUGUGGGGUGCUCGAGUGGCGAACGGGUGAGUAACACGUGAGUAACCUGCCCUUGACUUUGGGAUAACUUCAGGAAACUGGGGCUAAUACCGGAUAGGAGCUCCUGCUGCAUGGUGGGGGUUGGAAAGUUUCGGCGGUUGGGGAUGGACUCGCGGCUUAUCAGCUUGUUGGUGGGGUAGUGGCUUACCAAGGCUUUGACGGGUAGCCGGCCUGAGAGGGUGACCGGCCACAUUGGGACUGAGAUACGGCCCAGACUCCUACGGGAGGCAGAAGUGGGGAAUAUUGCACAAUGGGCGGAAGCCUGAUGCAGCAACGCCGCGUGCGGGAUGACGGCCUUCGGGUUGUAAACCGCUUUCGCCUGUGACGAAGCGUGAGUGACGGUACUGGGUAAAGAAGCACCGGCUAACUACGUG